Molecule: long non-coding RNA, 525 nt
Organism: Oreochromis niloticus (Nile tilapia)
Lineage: Eukaryota; Metazoa; Chordata; Actinopteri; Cichliformes; Cichlidae
Exons: 3
Source: RefSeq, a predicted model, not a curated record
AAUACUAAAUAUUGAAUGUUGUUGUGUAGCAAGCAGGACCGACAGCGCACAAUGUGCUUGGAAAUAGCAGCCAAUAGAUGUUAGGAGUUGGUGGGGUUUCUCUGGUGUGGUGUCACGGGGUCUGCUUCUGUUUUCAGCACAGGUAGGCGGGGUGGUGUGUCACGGGAUGCUGACACACCGGCGGUGCACCAGACGUCAUUUGAUGAAGCGUUACUGGUGUCGGAGUAUUGCCACCUCCUCGAGUGCCGGAUCCAUCACCCGCUUACCUGUCAGCUGUUUUUGAAGCCACAUUUCCGGGAUCACUACGGAGAUCAAUCACAGCGUUUCUCCCACAUCCCGAGAAUCCUCGCCCGAGCCUGUACAGCCAGUGUGACAAAUCCACCCUGCGUGCGCGGGUAACCCCUUUCCCUCCGAAUGCGUGUCAGCCUCCUCCCCUGGUUUCCCUCUGUUUAUUCAUCAGUAUUAUCUCAUCCCGUGUAAAUAAGUUUGACACAGUAAAUAAAGAGCACUCCCUGCAUUUUCUGC